GACGAACGCUGGCGGCGUGCCUAAUACAUGCAAGUUGAGCGAUGAAGAUUGGUGCUUGCACCAAUUUGAAGAGCAGCGAACGGGUGAGUAACGCGUGGGGAAUCUGCCUUUGAGCGGGGGACAACAUUUGGAAACGAAUGCUAAUACCGCAUAACAACUUUAAACAUAAGUUUUAAGUUUGAAAGAUGCAAUUGCAUCACUCAAAGAUGAUCCCGCGUUGUAUUAGCUAGUUGGUGAGGUCAAGGCUCACCAAGGCGAUGAUACAUAGCCGACCUGAGAGGGUGAUCGGCCACAUUGGGACUGAGACACGGCCCAAACUCCUACGGGAGGCAGCAGUAGGGAAUCUUCGGCAAUGGACGAAAGUCUGACCGAGCAACGCCGCGUGAGUGAAGAAGGGUUUCGGAUCGUAAAACUCUGUUGGUAGAGAAGAACGUUGGUGAGAGUGGAAAGCUCAUCAAGUGACGGUAACUACCCAGAAAGGGACGGCUAACUACGUG
RNAcentral lists this ribosomal RNA (497 nucleotides) under uncultured bacterium. Its description in RNAcentral is "partial 16S ribosomal RNA". It matches the Rfam family "Bacterial small subunit ribosomal RNA", at positions 28 to 507 of the family's 1533-position model. The record is from RNAcentral.